UAACGAAUCUUCCGCAAUGCGCGAAAGCGUGACGGAGCAAUGCCGCGUGCAGGAUGAAGCCCUUCGGGGUGUAAACUGCUGUCAGGGUUCAGCAACACAAUGAGCAGACCCAAAGGAAGGGCCGGCUAACUUCGUGCCAGCAGCCGCGGUAAUACGAAGGGCCCGAGCGUUGCGCGGAAUCAUUGGGCUUAAAGCGUGCGUAGGCGGGCGCGCAAGCACCUUGUGAAAUCCCUCGGCUCAACCGAGGAAUUGCUUGGUGAACUGCGCGUCUUGAGGCGAGUAGGGGCUGUCGGAACGAUAGGUGGAGCGGUGAAAUGCGUUGAUAUCUAUCGGAACGCCGAAGGCGAAGGCAGGCAGCUGGGCUCGAUCUGACGCUGAGGCACGAAAGCGUGGGGAGCGAACGGGAUUAGAUACCCCCGUAGUCC
RNAcentral lists this ribosomal RNA (425 nucleotides) under uncultured prokaryote. Its description in RNAcentral is "bacterial SSU rRNA". It matches the Rfam family "Bacterial small subunit ribosomal RNA", at positions 355 to 796 of the family's 1533-position model. The record is from RNAcentral.